Molecule: non-coding RNA, 45 nt
Organism: Schistosoma mansoni
Lineage: Eukaryota; Metazoa; Platyhelminthes; Trematoda; Strigeidida; Schistosomatidae
Source: Rfam
AUCCAGCUGACGAGUCCCAAAUAGGACGAAACUCCCAUCCUGGAU